Molecule: long non-coding RNA, 841 nt
Organism: Ictalurus furcatus (blue catfish)
Lineage: Eukaryota; Metazoa; Chordata; Actinopteri; Siluriformes; Ictaluridae
Exons: 3
Source: RefSeq, a predicted model, not a curated record
AUUAAAAUGGUGACUUUGGCCCAGGAACUCAGGGUUGGCGUGCUGUUUCUCUGGGGAAUAUAGGGUUAUGGGACAUAAUACUGUGGGAACUAAGGGGUAAGAGGGUUAAGACUGAAUGGUUUCAAUGUGGUGUUUUUUGUGUGUGUGUGUGUGUGUGUGUGUGUAGUUUUCCUCGGGAAUCCAAUAAGCUAAUUGAUUUGCCAGAGGAUUACUGUGCACUGAUCAACCAGGCUUUCAGCUUCACGUGAGUGUGUGCACUGAGUUGCAUUCAUUUAUACCCAGUAUCUGCUUAAUAGAAUAGAAUUCUGGUGGACAUCUCUAGUUAUUGCUUUUUAGUUUAUAACCUCCAUUGUUUUUGUAGCUGUCCUAAGUCAGAUGGAGUUAAGUCUUGAGCUCAAACUCUGUGCUUGGUGUGUGGCACGAUGCUGUGAUCUCAGAGCAGCUGCUGCCAGACUGAGCUGGAGGGUGAGGACGUUGGAGCGUGUACUGCACACAUCUUUGUUUGCUGAGCUGGUGUUAGCAUUUUCCUCAGGGUGAGGGAGAAAUAGGUUCUUUUCCUGUACCUCGAUGACUAUGGAGAACUGUCCAAGGGCUCAGAUGGAGGAAUGCGCUACAGAAAUAUUCAGAAGCUCUGGUGCCAGCACAGCAUCACCGAGGAGAUGGGUCAUGCACAGGAAGCUAAUCAGACUCUGGAGGACAUUGACUGGGAGAUCCUGGAUUUCCUUGGCUAAUGCCAAAUCUAAACUAACCAGGGAUCUGCACAUUUACCUAGAAAUAGUGCAGAAUCUUGAACAUCAAUUAUUGAAAAUGUUGAACAUUUCCUUUUUUUGUUAUUUCAAUG